This 497-nucleotide ribosomal RNA is filed under the name uncultured bacterium. Its description in RNAcentral is "partial 16S ribosomal RNA". It matches the Rfam family "Bacterial small subunit ribosomal RNA", at positions 28 to 507 of the family's 1533-position model. The record is from RNAcentral.
GAUGAACGCUGGCGGCGUGCCUAAUACAUGCAAGUCGAGCGAACAGACGAGGAGCUUGCUCCUCUGACGUUAGCGGCGGACGGGUGAGUAACACGUGGAUAACCUACCUAUAAGACUGGGAUAACUUCGGGAAACCGGAGCUAAUACCGGAUAAUAUAUUGAACCGCAUGGUUCAAUAGUGAAAGACGGUUUUGCUGUCACUUAUAGAUGGAUCCGCGCCGCAUUAGCUAGUUGGUAAGGUAACGGCUUACCAAGGCAACGAUGCGUAGCCGACCUGAGAGGGUGAUCGGCCACACUGGAACUGAGACACGGCCCAGACUCCUACGGGAGGCAGCAGUAGGGAAUCUUACGCAAUGGGCGAAAGCCUGACGGAGCAACGCCGCGUGAAGGAUGAAGGUCUUCGGAUCGUAAAACUCUGUUAUUAGGGAAGAACAAAUGUUUAAGUAACUAUGCACGUCUUGACGGUACCGAAUCAAUAAGCCCCGGCUAACUACGUG